RNAcentral lists this ribosomal RNA (492 nucleotides) under uncultured bacterium. RNAcentral's name for it is "partial 16S ribosomal RNA". It matches the Rfam family "Bacterial small subunit ribosomal RNA", at positions 29 to 507 of the family's 1533-position model. The record is from RNAcentral.
AGUGAACGCUGGCGGUAGGCCUAACACAUGCGAGUCGAACGGCAGCACAGUAAGAGCUUGCUCUUACGGGUGGCGAGUGGCGGACGGGUGAGGAAUACAUCGGAAUCUACUUUUUCGUGGGGGAUAACGUAGGGAAACUUACGCUAAUACCGCAUACGGCCUACGGGUGAAAGCAGGGGAUCUUCGGACCUUGCGCGAUUGAAUGAGCCGAUGUCGGAUUAGCUAGUUGGCGGGGUAAAGGCCCACCAAGGCGACGAUCCGUAGCUGGUCUGAGAGGAUGAUCAGCCACACUGGAACUGAGACACGGUCCAGACUCCUAAGGGAGGCAGCAGAGGGGAAUAUUGGACAAUGGGCGCAAGCCUGAUCCAGCCAUACCGCGUGGGUGAAGAAGGCCUUCGGGUUGUAAAGCCCUUUUGUUGGGAAAGAAAAGCAGCAGGUUAAUACCCCGCUGUUCUGACGGUACCCAAAGAAUAAGCACCGGCUAACUUCGUG